Molecule: long non-coding RNA, 271 nt
Organism: Corvus hawaiiensis (hawaiian crow)
Lineage: Eukaryota; Metazoa; Chordata; Aves; Passeriformes; Corvidae
Exons: 3
Source: RefSeq, a predicted model, not a curated record
CAUUCCCACCUGAACCUGAGCAUAUAAAAUCUGGGUUUGGGGCCUUCUGGCAACACUUAACAGAUCCAGGGCAGGAGCAGGACUCCAAGAGGACUGUGACCACCGCUGUUGACAAGACUGCUCCCAUCACUUGGACAGGACUGUGUCCACCACUCUGACCAACAGGAUUUCCCACUCCCAAACCUUGGCCAGAUGGAGGAGGAGGCUGUGAGGAAGAGGAAGAUGCCCCGGAACACCCAGGCAGACAAGGAGCUGAGGACAGAGCCCAGGG